AGAAUACUCAGUUGCGCCCUAAGUGUAUAACUUUGCAACGAGUACUUUUUCUCAUUCUAUCGAACGAAGAGCAAAAGCUAAUUAUACUGUUCUAUUAUUCCCCGAGAGCGUAAAUUUGGAACGAAUCGACGUCAACGUUCACAGGAACCAAAACCGGAAUAACAUUACAAUACUCAGUUGUGCCCUAACAGUAUAACUUUGCAACGCGUACUUUUUCUCAUUCAAUCGAACAAACAGUUAAACCUAAUUAUAUUGUUCUAUUAUGCCCCGAGAGUGUAAAUUUCGAAUGAAUCGAUGUCAACGUUCACAAUAACCAAAGCCGGAACAACAUUAGACUACUCAGUUGAGCCCUAACAGUAUAACUUUGCAACGACUACUUCUUCUCAUUCAAUCGAACAAAGAGUAAAACUUAAUUAUCUUGUUCAAUUUUGCCUCGAAAGGGUAAAUUUCGAACGAAUCGAUGUCAACGUUCACAAGAACCAAAAUCGGAACAACAUUAGGCAACUCAGUUGCGCCAUAACAGUAUAACUUUGCAACGAGUACUUUUUCUCAUUCAAUCGAACAAAUCGUUAAACCUUAUAUUGUUCUAUUAUGCCCCGAGAGUGUAAAUUUCGAAUGAAUCGAUGUCAACGUUCACAAUAACCAAAGCCGGAACAACAUUAGACUACUUAGUUGCGCCCUAACAGUAUAACUUUGCAACGAGUACUUUUUCUCAUUCAAUCGAACAAAAAGUAAAACCUAAUUAUCUUGUUCUAUUUUGCUUCGAGAGGGUAAAUUUCGAGCGAAUCGAUGUCAACGUCCAUAAGAACCAAAAUCGGAACAAUAUUAGACUACUCAGAUGCGCCAUAACAGCAUAACUUUGCAACGAGUACUUUUUCUCAUUCAAUCGAACAAACAGUUAAACCUAAUUAUAUUGUUCUAUUAAGCCCCAAGAGUGUAAAGAUGGACGAAUCGAUGUCAACGUUCACAAGAACCAAAAUCGGAACAACAUUAGACUACUCAGUUGCGCCCUAACAGUAUAACUUUGCAACGAGUACUUUUUCUCAUUCAAUCGAACAAACAGUUAAACCUAAUUAUAUUGUUCUAUUAUGCCCCGAGGGUAUAAAU
This 1107-nucleotide long non-coding RNA is filed under the name Ananas comosus (pineapple). RNAcentral describes it as "long non-coding RNA (ACOM_LNC038984)". The record is from RNAcentral. Lineage: Eukaryota; Viridiplantae; Streptophyta; Magnoliopsida; Poales; Bromeliaceae.